GAGUUUGAUCCUGGCUCAGGAUGAACGCUGGCGGCGUGCCUAACACAUGCAAGUCGAACGGAAACAUCCCGUCGAUGCGAUUUCGGUCAAGUCAAAGGAUGUUUUAGUGGCGGACGGGUGAGUAACGCGUGGGCAACCUGCCUUACACCGGGGGAUAACACUUAGAAAUAGGUGCUAAUACCGCAUAACAGGAGAACAUGCAUGUGUUUUCCUUGAAAACCACGGUGGUGUAAGAUGGACCCGCGUCUGAUUAGCUUGUUGGCAGGGUAACGGCCUACCAAGGCGACGAUCAGUAGCCGGCCUGAGAGGGUGGACGGCCACAUUGGGACUGAGACACGGCCCAGACUCCUACGGGAGGCAGCAGUGGGGAAUAUUGCACAAUGGGGGAAACCCUGAUGCAGCGACGCCGCGUGAGUGAAGAAGUAUUUCGGUAUGUAAAGCUCUGUCAGCAGGGAAGAAAAUGACGGUACCUGACCAAGAAGCCCCGGCUAACUACGUGCCAGCAGCCGCGGUAAUACGUAGGGGGCAAGCGUUAUCCGGAUUUACUGGGUGUAAAGGGAGCGCAGACGGCAGUGCAAGUCCGGAGUGAAAGCCCGGGGCCCAACCCCGGGACUGCUCUGGAAACUGUACGGCUGGAGUGCCGGAAAGGUAAGCGGAAUUCCUAGUGUAGCGGUGAAAUGCGUAGAUAUUAGGAGGGACACCAGUGGCGAAGGCGGCUUACUGGACGGUAACUGACGUUGAGGCUCGAAAGCGUGGGGAGCAAACAGGAUUANAUACCCUGGUAGUCCACGCCCUA
This 796-nucleotide ribosomal RNA is filed under the name uncultured bacterium. RNAcentral's name for it is "bacterial SSU rRNA". It matches the Rfam family "Bacterial small subunit ribosomal RNA", at positions 9 to 804 of the family's 1533-position model. The record is from RNAcentral.